This 484-nucleotide ribosomal RNA is filed under the name uncultured bacterium. RNAcentral describes it as "partial 16S ribosomal RNA". It matches the Rfam family "Bacterial small subunit ribosomal RNA", at positions 30 to 507 of the family's 1533-position model. The record is from RNAcentral.
AUUGAACGCUGGCGGCAUGCCUUACACAUGCAAGUCGAACGGCAGCGCGGGAGCAAUCCUGGCGGCGAGUGGCGAACGGGUGAGUAAUACAUCGGAACGUGCCCAAUCGUGGGGGAUAACGCAGCGAAAGCUGUGCUAAUACCGCAUACGAUCUACGGAUGAAAGCAGGGGAUCGCAAGACCUUGCGCGAAUGGAGCGGCCGAUGGCAGAUUAGGUAGUUGGUGAGGUAAAGGCUCACCAAGCCUUCGAUCUGUAGCUGGUCUGAGAGGACGACCAGCCACACUGGGACUGAGACACGGCCCAGACUCCUACGGGAGGCAGCAGUGGGGAAUUUUGGACAAUGGGCGAAAGCCUGAUCCAGCCAUGCCGCGUGCAGGAUGAAGGCCUUCGGGUUGUAAACUGCUUUUGUACGGAACGAAACGGUCCUUUCUAAUAAAGAAGGCUAAUGACGGUACCGUAAGAAUAAGCACCGGCUAACUACGUG